Molecule: ribosomal RNA, 251 nt
Filed under: uncultured prokaryote
Description: partial 16S rRNA
Rfam family: Bacterial small subunit ribosomal RNA
Source: RNAcentral
ACGUAGGGGGCAAGCGUUAUCCGGAUUUAUUGGGUGUAAAGGGUGCGUAGGCGGGAAAGCAAGUUGAAUGUGAAAUGCCGGGGCUCAACUCCGGGGUUGCGAUCGAUACUGUAAAUCUAGAGUACAGCAGAGGGAAGCGGAAUUCCCAGUGUAGCGGUGAAAUGCGUAGAUAUCGGGAGGAACACCAGUGGCGAAGGCGGCUUGCUGGCACAAUACUGACGCUCAUGUGCGAAAGCUAGGGCAGCGAACGG